GUACAAUUUGGGAUGUCGAAUGGCGUACUAGCGUGACUGGUUUUCGUCGUUGUUCUCCCUUUUAAAACAAAAUAAUGCCGCGUUCUAAGAAAGUUUCUAAAAAGAUGACGGACGAAGAAGAAAAUAUGUCUGAUAGUGACUUUGGGGAAGAUGAAGAUCCUGAUAAAAUUGAGGUGCCAGGAGGCGGUAAAGAUCUGGCUGCAGCAGCUGCGAUGCUGGAAUCGAGGGAGAAACAACUUAAACAAGAGGCCCUAAAACAAGAACCUUUCAAAGAAGAAUACAAACCCGACAUGGCUAAAAUGAUGCAAAUGCCAAUGAAUGCUUUCCCCAAAAUGGCCCAGAAUAUACAUCCCAGUACAUAUGACAUGAUGAGAGCACCUACAAUGGGUUCCCCAUACGGGAUGAGCAGUGUGGCCGCAAUGGCAAGUAUGCUCAACAGUUUGGGGAGCCCGAUCAACGUCAGCUCUUUAUUCCCACCCCAAGCUUCUGGCACGGGAGCAGGACCUGGCUUCAACGCUGCACAGUUUCUGCAGCAGAGUAAGUCCUAUAUCAGGAGCUUGGAGAUGCUUAAUCCCUACUUUAACCCCGGAUAUUUCUCGAUGUUCUACCCUGGCGGAAACAUGGCUCCGUGGGGCGGACCUCUUAGCAAUAAAGCUGUCCAGUCCAUGUGGAUGAACCAGAUGGAUAACAAACCCAUGCCUCAUCAAGAAGAGGAGGAAGUAGACGACGAAGAACUGGGGGUUGCUGAAACCUACGCCGACUAUAUGCCAUCGAAACUGAAGCUGGGCAGAAAACAUCCUGACCCCGUUGUCGAAACAGCUUCGUUAUCUAGUGUAGCUCCAGCCGACGUUUGGUACGAACUGUCGAUACCGGACGAGACUAUAAACAAAGGACAUUUGUCUGCUUUGCAGUUGGAGAGUAUUACUUAUGCUUCACAAGCACACUCACACAUAUUACCAAAUAAGUCAAGGGCUGGAUUCUUGAUAGGUGAUGGUGCGGGUGUUGGCAAAGGCCGUACCAUAGCCGGAAUCAUCUUCGAAAAUUACCUGAAAGGCCGCAAGAAAGCCAUCUGGGUUUCGGUAUCGAACGAUCUCAAAUACGAUGCCGAACGUGAUUUGCGAGACAUCGGCGCCGGGAAAAUAGACGUGCACCCUCUCAACAAACUCAAAUACGCCAAAAUCAAUUCCAGUACCAAUGGCAACGUGAAGAAAGGAGUCGUGUUUAGCACUUAUUCUGCCUUGAUUGGGGAAAGCAACUCGGCCGGGGGAAAAUAUAAGUCCAGACUGAAGCAGUUGUUGCAGUGGUGUGGAUCUGAUUUCGAUGGGCUUAUAGUUUUUGACGAGUGUCAUAGAGCUAAGAAUUUAUGUCCCGUUGGUUCAUCCAAACCCACAAAAACCGGUUUAACUGUCCUCGAAUUACAAAAUAAGCUUCCCCAGGCGAGGGUUAUUUAUGCGUCAGCUACAGGAGCCUCAGAACCAAGAAACAUGGCCUACAUGGUGAGAUUAGGAUUGUGGGGUGAAGGUACACCUUUCAAAGAAUUUGCAGAUUUUAUAUCGGCAGUUGAAAAGAGAGGUGUAGGAGCUAUGGAAAUUGUAGCCAUGGAUAUGAAGUUAAGAGGAAUGUAUAUAGCGAGACAACUUAGUUUCCAUGGUGUAGCUUUUAAGAUAGAAGAAGUUCCCCUUUCCAAAGAUUUCGAAAAAGUAUAUGAUGCCAGCGUGAAGUUGUGGGUGGAAGCGAUGCAGAAGUUUCACGAAGCUGCAGAGCUAGUCGACGCCGAAAAUCGAAUGCGCAAGACUAUGUGGGGACAGUUCUGGUCGUCGCAUCAACGGUUUUUCAAAUAUCUUUGUAUAGCAGCUAAGGUACCGCACGCUGUAGCAGUUGCACACGAAGCUAUAAAAAUGGGAAAAUGUGUAGUAAUAGGUUUACAAAGUACAGGAGAAGCCAGAACUCUGGAACAGUUAGAAAGAGAUGACGGAGAAUUAUCCGAUUUUGUUUCUACUGCCAAAGGUGUAUUUCAAACGUUGGUCGAGAAACACUUUCCUGCGCCUGAUCGGAAUCGUAUCCAUAAGCUUUUAGGUUUGGAACCUGCUCCUGCUAAAAAAGCUCCUGCUACAAACGGAAACGAUGAAGCGAACAGUUCUUCAAGCAAACGUAAACCAGUUCGACAAGCGGCAGCUCGAGCAAAUAAACGGAACAAAUGGUCGACGUCAGACACUGAAGAAUCGAUCAAAAGCGACGGUUCUGAUUUCGAAAUGUCAGAGGCGGAAAGCGAAAUAUCCGAAGAACAUUCCGAUUCCAACGUCAGUAGUGAUUUCAAUCCAUUCCAGUCGGGCAGCGACUCAGAUGACGAUCCUUGGAAUAGAAAGAAGAAGGGAAAGAAGCAGAAAAAACCCCCGAAAAAGAAGAUUUCUGCUCAGGAUAAGCUGUCGUUGAUGUUGAGUAGGAAGACUAGUAAAGCUAACAAACCAAACGGGAGCGGUUUCCCGCCCGUAGCCCCACCGAUGGACGCCAUCGAACGCGCCUGUAGCAUGAAAGAAGAAUUACUGACAGCUAUCGAGAAGUUGGGAGAAAAACUGCCGCCUAAUACAUUGGAUCAGCUCAUAGACGAACUGGGAGGUCCGGAAAACGUCGCCGAGAUGACUGGUCGUAAAGGACGAGUAGUGUCGACAGAAGAUGGCGGAAUUCAGUAUGAGAGUAGGUCAGAAAAUGAUGUUCCUUUAGAAACAUUAAAUCUGACAGAAAAACAAAGGUUCAUGGAUGGCGAGAAGGAUGUGGCUAUUAUUUCAGAAGCUGCAUCAAGUGGUAUUUCACUUCAGAGUGACAGGCGAGUUAAGAAUCAAAGACGGAGGGUACACAUCACAUUAGAAUUACCUUGGUCUGCCGAUAGGGCUAUUCAGCAAUUCGGAAGAACUCACAGGAGUAAUCAAGUUAAUGCUCCUGAAUACCAAUUCCUUAUUUCUGAUCUUGCCGGAGAACGAAGAUUCGCAUCUAUUGUCGCAAAAAGGUUAGAAAGUUUAGGUGCUCUGACCCACGGCGACCGUCGAGCGACCGAAACGCGCGAUCUCAGUCAAUUCAACAUCGACAACAAGUACGGUCGUUCCGCUUUGGAAGCGACCAUGAAGGCCGUAAUGGGUUACGAACAACCGGUAGUCCCGCCCCCACGAGACUACAAGGGCGACUUCUUCAAAGACAUCGCCGCUGCGUUGAUCGGCGUGGGGAUGAUUGUAAAUAGCGAAAAUAUGCCGGGAGUGCUGUCCUUAGAUAAGGAUUAUAAUAAUAUGUCCAAGUUCCUUAACCGUAUUUUGGGUAUGCCUGUAGAAUUGCAGAAUAGGCUAUUCAAGUAUUUUACUGAUACUCUUGCUGCUAUCAUCACAUCAGCUAAAAAAUCCGGCAGAUUCGAUCUAGGUAUUCUGGAUCUUGGUGCUGGAGGAGAACUAGUGAAACGAGUUCGCACGGUGACGUUCCUAAGAAAACACGCGACAGGUAUCGCUCCCACAGAACUUCAUACGGUUCAUGUGGAACGAGGCAUGGCGUGGCCAGAGGCCUUAGAAAAGUUUUCAGAUCUGAUUGGAGAACAUGAAGGUUUCUGGAUAUCGCAUCAAAUCCGGAAUGGUAAAACGACUGCCAUCUUAGCCAUCGCUGUAGAUACUGGUGGUGGUGGGGGAGGCACCAAAGGCAAGAAGGAAGGUAAAAAGGAAAGCAAGAAAGAUAUGAUGUUUUCCGUGUACAGGCCGAACACAGGGUUGCAAUUCAGACAGGAGAGUUUAGCUGAACUAGAGAAAAAAUACAAAAAAGUGGAAUCUGGCGAAGCAGAAAAAUCCUGGUCUCAACAAUACGACGCUUCUGUAAAUACUUGUUCUCACGCAUAUUGGAGAGGUAAUUGCCGAAACGUCUCAGUAGGACACGAUUGUGAAGUCGGACUAAGACGAAGAACCUACAACGUAGUGUCUGGUUCGGUACUGUCGGUGUGGAGUAGAGUCGAAGGAGUUUUGGCGAGCAAAACGGGCUCUCAGAAUAAGAUGCAAGUUAUACGUUUACGGACCAAAGAUGACAUUAAAGUUGUGGGUACACUCAUUCCAAAAAAUUGUGUAGACGAUUUAAUCAAGGCUCUAUCGUCUGACGCGGAAAAGACAGAGGAAAAAACUUUCGAAGAUUAAAGAGACUGAAAAGUGAAGUAAAAACGCUAUCAUCAGUUGAACACUUGAUAUCACAAAUUUGCCAGUGUAUUUUUUCGUCCUUAACUUAUAUUGUUUGUUAAUUUUUCGAAUUUGUGAUAUCAAUUGUAACUUUUUAGGAAACAAAUACAGGGCAAAUAUAGUAUUUUGCGGCACUACAAAAAUGAGUUGCAUUGUAGUCCAGUGAAUCGUAUCGUGUGGAUUAAUUUUUUUUCUUUAUUUGGAAAGCCAAUCUUAGCAAAGGGAACCAAACGUUUUUGAUUUUUAAUUUUAUCCUUAAUUAUUACAUAUUAUAUAUAAGGUUCUUGAACUCCCUAGUGGAGCAUAGAGCUUUAGUGAAAACGCGCAAUCGGGUUCUAUUUUGCGCUAAGGCCUUCACCCCAUUCCAAGACUUUCCUUGACUUCUUAUCUCGUCCAUGAUGGAUCUUCUCCAAGUUUGUGUUGGGCAACCUCUUUCUCUUUUUCCUUGAGGAUUCCACUCUAGUGCAGUCUUUGCAAUACUGGAACUAUUUUUUCGGGGUGUUUCAACGGUGGAACUAUUUUUUCAAAGCGGGGAUCCAACCCCACUUUCUGGACAUUAUUUCAUUUUCUAUCCUUUUUUUGUUCGGUCAGGUGUAAGUAGAUCUUCGUUUCUGAUGAUUUUAGGCCAGAAAACGAACAAUUCUUCGUAGACAUUUGUUAACAAAGACCUGCAGUUUGUCUGUAAGGGUUUUUGUCACUUUCCAGGUUUCACAUCCGUGGGGUAGAACAGACAUGACAUUUGACUGGAAUAUUCGGAUCUUUGUCCUUGUAGUGUACUCGCCAGACCCCCAAACACUGUUGAGCAUGCUGAAUGCUUGUUCAGCUUUUCGUAUCCUCGUAUGAAUAUCGUCUUCUGUACCUCCGUUUUCUGUUAUGACUCUUCCAAGAUACGUAAAGUUUUCCACAUUUUCAUUCUGCAUAUUGUCACUAGUAAAUAGCGUGUUGUUCCUUGCAUUUAUUCUCACGGACUUGGUUUUACUAAUAUUGAUUUUCAAAUCUGUUUUAUUGGCUUCAGUACAAAGUGUUUCCAAUUGGCCAGCCACAUCUUGGAACCUUUGUCCCAAUAUGCAUAUAUCGUCCGUGUAUUCUAGAUCGUUUAGGCGUGUGGUUACCUUCAAUUGUAUCCCUCUUGUGUCUGAGUCCACUUUGGAGAGAACAUAGUCUAUAGCUAUGUUAAAAAGAAACGGAGAAAACACGUAUUCCUGUCUGACUCCAGUAAGUACGUCAAGUUAGUCCCUGUCUCAUGUUGAUCCCAUUGUGUAUCACACUGCGUUUCGCCUUUAUAAUGGAAAUUAUUUUAUGCGGAAUGUUUCUUAGCUCUAAAAUUUUCCAUAUAGCAGCAUGAGAUAAGCUGUCAAAGGCACAUUCGAAAGCAACAACAACUAGUAUAAUAGGGGUGUAAUAGAUCAAACUUAGGGCCAUCAUGAUAACUAUCAAAAUUAACCGCCCAAGAUGGGCGGCCAUGUUAUGUUUAUGGAUGAAAAUGAUCCUACCAAAAUAACUGCUAAAUGGACUUUAGACGUAUACAGGGUGUCCCCGAAAAUAGUGCGUUCCUUUAAGGUAUGGAUAUAAUACACAAUUUAGAACAAAAAAGUCCUAUAACAUUUUUUUCUAAAGUUAACAGUUUCCAAGAAAAAAAUUACAUUGUUCUCCAUAUAAGUGAGUUUUUAUUUUCAUAAAUUUGAAUGACAUGGCAACGUAGCCUAGAAGAACUUGCUGUGACUGUGGAAAUUUAAAGUAAUAACCCCUUGUUUAUUUACUUUGAGGUGUGAUUUUUGGGGUUGUUGGAUGUGGGUUUGGUUGAUAUUUACAUUAUUUUACCUAGCAGAUCCAACCGACCUACAAACCUACUUUUUUAAUCUUUAGAUUUUUGAGUUGCGCGUUUUUGCCAGACUUCAAUUUGCAUAUCAAAAUGUAUUUUCGUUUUUUGGUCAAACGGAUCACUUUAGAAAAAAAUGUUAUAAGACUUUUUUGCUCUACAUUGUGCCUUCACCUAUACCUUUAAGGAACGCACUAUUUUCGGGGACACCCUGUAUAUUGAGAUAGACAGUCUAACCUCCGCGCUUUCUGACAAAAUCUCUUGGUUGGCGGAAUCUCUUUCUAGCAUGUUGUAUCGAGAAACUAAGUGGGGUUAUGGCACGGAAAGGGAGAACUACUGUCGCAGCUUUACUAUGCGUAAGAGUGAAACAGCACUGAGCAAAAAAAAGGAUGGUGUCGUCACUUCACUGAACAUGACACUCUGUUUAUGUUAAUACAGGGUGUCCAGAAACUCUACCGACAAACGAAGACAGGAGAUUCCUCAGGUAAUUUUAAGACAAUUUAACCAAAUUCACCUUGUCCGAAAUUGCUUCCUAAGGGAGCUAGAGCUGUUUGAAAAUGGCGCCUUGUAAUUAGUGUUUCUUAAAUACCCCCAGAACGCUUCUAGUUAGAAAAACAAAAAUUGGUAUGCAUAUUUAUCUUCCAGAGAUACAUCGAUUACAUCCAUUGCGAAUUUAUAGUACCGGUCAUAGGCGUCCGUUUUGGGUAGGGUAUCGGUUAUUUUAUCGUAUAACUUUUUUGUCUUUAAAUUUUAUGCAUUUUUCACUUUGGAUUAUUAAAUUGUAAGGUAUGCUAGUACUAAAAGGUACUCUUGAUUUAAGUCGAUAGGACACACCGUUUUCUAGAAAAAUCGAUUUGAAAAUUUUUCGUCUCUUGAAUUUGAAAAAUGUUUUCAAAAAACGGUAUAUUUUACGAACUUAAACGAAGAGUAACUUUUACUCCUAUAAUACGUCAUAAUUUAAUAAUCUAGUGUCAAAAAUCUUAAAAAUUAAAGACAAAAAAAGUUAUGCGAUAAAAUAACCGUUGACCUACCCAAAACCGACGCAUAUGACUGAUACUUGAAAUUCGCAAUUAAUGAAAUCGAUUCAUCUCUGGAAUAUAAUUAAACGUACAAGUUUUCGUUUUUCUAAAUAGUUUUUUUUUAAUUUUUUUUUUGAAAUUUAAGGAACAAAAAAUUUUCAAAUCAAUUUUUCUAGAAAACGGUGUAUCCUAUCGACUUAACAAGAGUACCUUUUAAUACAAGAAUACCUCACAAUUUCAUAAUCCAGAGUCAAAAAUGCUUAAAAGUUACAGACAAAAAAGUUAUGCGAUAAAGUAACCGUUGCCCUACCCAAAACGGACGCCUAUGACCUGUACUAGAAAUUUACAAUGGAUGGAAUCGAUUUAUCUCUAGAAGAUAAAUAUGCAUACCAAUUUUUGUUUUUCUAAAUAGAAGCGUUCCGGAGGUAUUUAAGAAAAACUAAUUACCAGACGCCAUCUUCAAAUAGCUCUAGCUCCCUUAGGAAGCGUUUUCGGACUAAGUGAAUUGGGUUAAAUUGUCUUAAAAUUAUCUGAGGAAUCUCCUGUAUUCGUUUGUCGGUAGAGUUGCUGGACACCCUGUAUAUAUGUAUGUCUAUGAAAUAGGCCGAUCGAAAGAAGAAGAAGGGGGUGACAUAAAUUCAGAUAUCUGGAGGAUGUGCAGGAAGAUUUAAGGAGUAUUCCGUGAGAUUGAAGUAAGGGGAUUGAGAAGACAGGUACUCAACAAGGAAGAAUGUUUUGAGGCAAGCCAAGGCUCACGAAGGCUGUAGCGUCAACUGAUGAUGAUUCUUCAGUUAUGCGUUGAGAAUAAUAGCAGGGAAAGGGUCAUUAUAAACAAUAAGUUCUUUUAUGGCUCAAGACAGGCCGAUGAUUAAGGGGACAUCUUGGAUUUUAAAGCACCCUAUUGUGGCUGCAUUUUUAUUCACAGUGUUGCCAUGCUGUUUUCUAUAUAUUUCUUUCAUAAUUUCAAUCAAUGUUAAAUAUACCUACAAGAAUAAUAGAAUAAUAACAUUUACUUCUCCGUCAUUAUACUAGGUAUAAUGAUAAAUGAGGUGUCAAAUUAAAGCUUAUAAUCCAAGGAUAGGACUAAAGGUAAGAAAUUAGACCUAUUGUAGGUUGUUUGUCCGUCUGUCUGUCUGACCGCGAAUAUAACUCCUCCGUUACUAUACCAGGUAGAAUGACAAAUGAGGUGUCAAAUGAAAGCUUAUAAUCCAAGGAUGGUACUGAAGGUGAGAAAUUUGACAUAGGUUGUCUGUCCGCCUGUCCGUCCGACCGCGAAUAUAACUCCUCCGUUACUAUACUAGGUAGAAUGACAAAUGAGGUGUCAAAUGAAAGCUUAUAAUACAAGGAUGGUACUAAAGGUGAGAAAUUUGACAUAGGCUGUCUGUCCGUCCGACCGCGAGUAUAACUCAUCCGUCACUAUACCAGGUAGAAUGACAAAUGAGGUGUCAACUGAAAGUUUAUAAUCCAAGGAUAGUAGUAAAGGUGAGAAAUUAGACCUAGGUUGUCUGUCCGCGAAUAUAACUCCUCCGUCACUAUACCAGGUCGGACGGACAGGCGGACAGACAACAUAUGUCAAACUUCUCAUCUUUAGUACCAUCCUUGGAUUAUAAGCUUUCAUUUGACACCUCAUUUGUCAUUCUACCUGGUACAGUGACGAAGGAAUCAUAUACGCGAUCGGACAGACAGACGGACAGACAGCCUAGGUUAAAUUUCUCACCUUUAGUACCAUCCUUGGAUAAGCUUUCAUUUGACACCUCAUUUGUCAUUCUACCUGGUAUAAUGACGAAGGAGUUGAGUUUGCAAACAGACAGACAAGACGGACGUGGACAUGUUUUCACAUUUUUUCAAAAUUGGUGAAAACAACAACAUAAUAAACUUUACUUAAUUGGUGUUUCAAAACUACUUACUUUUAACACAUUAGGUACACAAUAUUACAAGGUUUCUAGCAAGUUAAACGUCACAAUGAUUUAAAAUAAUCAAGUAAAAACCUAUAUAUACAUAACAUAUUAGAACAUACCUAAAAUACACAAAAAUGAUACAUUUCACACACAAAAUAUAUUUAAUAUAAUAUCACAAAAAAUUGUAACGUGAUAGUAUGAAAAAAUAGAGGAUACGGCAACGGUGUUACAUGUGACGGUCGGCCCGGGUCGGAUUCAAUGCCAAUAUCUACACAGACAUAUAUUAGGGUGCUUUAAAAUCCAAGAUGUCCGAUUAAGGUAUAAUGGAAUCAAAGAAUAUAGACGUAAUAGAAUGGCACUGCCCUGUAACGUUUUAGCAUAGGAUUUUGUGCACCUACUGAGUAGGUGCAUGUGGCCUGACAAUGACUACGGUAUUUUCAAGGGACAAAUAAACGUUACCAUCUGUUCCAUUCAAACUCUUCUUCUAGGAGAGUAUAUAUUCGUUGAUGGAAUUUUACAAACUCCACAAAUCAAAUCUGUCCUAGGAUCCCAGUAACUGGAGGCGAAAAUACGUCGGUAUGGUAUGGUAUAUGAUACACUUCAUCAUAAAAGUCCCAUUUUAUCCUACUUUGAAUCUCGUAAGUGUUGUCUCGUAAGUCGAACGAAUUCGUUAACAAACUUUCAUAAUAUAAAAUUUACUAAUAAAAUGACAAUUAAAAAGGAUAAACGUUUUUUAUCUUAUUUAUUUAUUUAUUUUAUUUUUUUUUUUUUUAAUUUAAAAAGUUCAGGAGGUGGUGAAAUAGAUGUCAGAAUGAAACAAAAAAUCUACAUCGAAAUCUAAUCUGGUAUACUCAUUAAUAUUCAUCUGGGCGGGGUGGUAUUGUUCGAGGUGUGAAAUUCCAUAAACAUUGGAUCUACCUGUUUUAGGAAAUGAUUCCGUGUUUAUAUAAUUUUACACCUCGAACAAUAUCAUCCUGCUCAGCUGAAUAUUGAGGAGUCUCAGAUACCUUGUUUUACUUUAAAUACAUGAUCCACGAAUAAGGAAAUGUAUAGUUCCUAGACAUGAGAGUUAUUCACCAAUUGUCUCUUUGCGGUUAGAAAUUUCCCAAUCACAGAUAAACAUUAACGAAUCAAAGACGUUUGGUACCCUCUUUUUAAUUAAUUUUAAUGCACGUUUGUAAAACGUGCGUUAUUUGAAAAAUCUGUGAAAUAGUUAUAUUUAGGUAUGAUGUAUUUAUAUGACAAGUAGGAUUUUAUUAAAUACUUUUUUGUAUACAUUUUUGUUAGUUAUUUCGAGAGGAAAGACUUUGUCUUUUUUUAAAGGAUUUAUUUAAAAACGUGUAUAAUAUUGUGUUCACAGUAAAAAAUUCAUCUGA
RNAcentral lists this unclassified non-coding RNA (10308 nucleotides) under Diabrotica virgifera virgifera (western corn rootworm). RNAcentral describes it as "protein strawberry notch". Lineage: Eukaryota; Metazoa; Arthropoda; Insecta; Coleoptera; Chrysomelidae. The record is from RNAcentral.